UACGUAGGGCGCAAGCGUUGUCCGGAAUUAUUGGGCGUAAAGAGCUCGUAGGCGGCUUGUCACGUCGGGUGUGAAAGCCCGGGGCUUAACCCCGGGUCUGCAUUCGAUACGGGCUAGCUAGAGUGUGGUAGGGGAGAUCGGAAUUCCUGGUGUAGCGGUGAAAUGCGCAGAUAUCAGGAGGAACACCGGUGGCGAAGGCGGCAUCCUGGACCGACAUUGACGCUGAGGAGCGAAAGCGUGGGGAGCGAACAGG
This 253-nucleotide ribosomal RNA is filed under the name uncultured bacterium. RNAcentral's name for it is "partial 16S ribosomal RNA". It matches the Rfam family "Bacterial small subunit ribosomal RNA", at positions 524 to 776 of the family's 1533-position model. The record is from RNAcentral.